GCGUGUGGAGGAUGAUGGCAGCGAGGGGCCAUCUCUAAGUUUCUCAGGCUGAGAAAAAAAACAUCAGUGUGGGGGAAGAUUUGGGACCCGUGUCUGUAUCUGCUACCUGGACUCUCAUUAAACAGAUGACGUGAUGAAGCAAUCAGAAAGCCUGGCCAGCUGCUCACCUCCAGGGCAGCUUCUUGGGAAGAUAGUGAACAAUUCUGGGGGUUAAGAACUGUUUUUAAAAGAAAACACUAGGGAGGCUGGGGCAGGAGGAUCAUUUGAGGCCCAGGAGUUGGACGCUGCAGCUAGCUAUGAUUGUACCACUGCACUCCAGCCUGGGUGACAGAGCAAGACCUUGUCUCUAAAAAAUAAAUAAAUAAACCUUUAAAAACC
RNAcentral lists this long non-coding RNA (378 nucleotides) under Pan troglodytes (chimpanzee). RNAcentral describes it as "lincRNA". Lineage: Eukaryota; Metazoa; Chordata; Mammalia; Primates; Hominidae. The record is from RNAcentral.